This 253-nucleotide ribosomal RNA is filed under the name uncultured bacterium. RNAcentral describes it as "partial 16S ribosomal RNA". It matches the Rfam family "Bacterial small subunit ribosomal RNA", at positions 524 to 776 of the family's 1533-position model. The record is from RNAcentral.
UACGGGGGGGGCAAGCGUUGUUCGGAAUUACUGGGCGUAAAGGGCUCGUAGGCGGCCAACUAAGUCAGACGUGAAAUCCCUCGGCUUAACCGGGGAACUGCGUCUGAUACUGGAUGGCUUGAGUUCGGGAGAGGGAUGCGGAAUUCCAGGUGUAGCGGUGAAAUGCGUAGAUAUCUGGAGGAACACCGGUGGCGAAGGCGGCAUCCUGGACCGACACUGACGCUGAGGAGCGAAAGCCAGGGGGGCAAACGGG